This is a small nucleolar RNA of Cricetulus griseus (Chinese hamster), 199 nucleotides long. Its record names the gene U3. It matches the Rfam family "Small nucleolar RNA U3". Rfam says of the family: Small nucleolar RNAs (snoRNAs) are involved in the processing and modification of rRNA in the nucleolus. There are two main classes of snoRNAs: the box C/D class, and the box H/ACA class. U3 snoRNA is a member of the box C/D class. NCBI's taxonomy places the organism in Eukaryota, Metazoa, Chordata, Mammalia, Rodentia, Cricetidae. The record is from Ensembl.
AAGGUUAUAGUUCAGGGAUCAUUUCUGUAAUUCAUUACAAAAGGAGUUUCUCUGACUGUAGAACAUCAAGACAAUGAGGACGAGAGGUAGCGUUCCCUCCAGAGUGUGAAGCCGGCUCUAGGUGUUGCUCUCCUGUGGCUGCCUCUUGGUCGUUCUUCUCUUCUUGUGGGAGAGUGGGAGGGAAGGCAGUUUGAGUGGA